This is a small nucleolar RNA of Labeo rohita (rohu), 105 nucleotides long. RefSeq annotates it as small nucleolar RNA U13. The transcript has a single exon. The record is from RefSeq and is a predicted model, not a curated record. Lineage: Eukaryota; Metazoa; Chordata; Actinopteri; Cypriniformes; Cyprinidae.
AUUUUUUUUUCAACUCACAGAAAAUGAUGAUGGUUUUAUUCACGUCUGUGUGUGAUAUGUGCUGCCAGUUUACUUGUUACAAUUCAGCACAUUAACCAUCUUAUU